CAAUAGCGUAUAUUAAAGUUGUUGCAGUUAAAAAGCUCGUAGUUGAAUUUCUGGCGGGCGCGCCGGUCUUCCAAGUGUUGUACUGGGCGCAGUCCGCCAUCCUUGUGGAGAGGGCUCGCAUUGAGUUGCGUGUCGGAUCUGCAUCAUUUACUGUGAAAAAAUUAGAGUGUUUAAAGCAGGCUGUCGCUUGAAUACAUUAGCAUGGAAUAAUAAGAUAGGACUUCGGUCUAUUUUGUUGGUUGCGAACCGAGGUAAUGAUUAAUAGGGAUAGUUGGGGGUAUUCAUAUUUAAUUGUCAGAGGUGAAAUUCUUGGAUUUAUGAAAGAUGAACAACUGCGUAAGCAUUUACCAAGGAUGUUUUCAUUAA
This 366-nucleotide ribosomal RNA is filed under the name uncultured eukaryote. RNAcentral describes it as "partial 18S ribosomal RNA". It matches the Rfam family "Eukaryotic small subunit ribosomal RNA", at positions 592 to 976 of the family's 1831-position model. The record is from RNAcentral.